CCUUUCGGAGAUUUUAAUAAAUAUUUCCAGCCUGUAUUUGUCUCGCCAUUUUUGUUUUUCUCGCCAUUUCAGCUGUCGACCAGAGUAGAAGAAGGUUGUGUUUAUUAAAUCUGUUACUAUAACAACAACAUCAUGUCUGACACUUCACUUCAACAGAUUGUCCAACACCAGAUUGUUAAUUUGUACGAUUCAAAUAAUGUACAACUAGGCGAGACCAACAACAUACACUGUCAUCAGUCUAAUCAACUAAAACAAGAUUUUGAUAGAAUGAAGAAUGAAAUACAACAACUCAAGUCAGAAAAUCAGACUCAAGCUGACGAAAUACAAAAACUCAAGUCAAGGGUGAAAGUUCUGGAAGUUAAAACAGGAGUCAAGAAAACAUAUAAAAAUAUAAUUAAAGAAAAAGAUGAUAUGAUUGAACUUACUAUACAAUACUACAACAGCUUUCCUUGGUGUGAAGAUAUGACUAUAAGUAUUAGUAGAGAUCAAACAGUGAAUGAAUUAGAGAAGAUGAUACUGGAGGAGUGUAGAAAGACGUGUGGUGUAGAGUUUCAUGGUUAUAUUGGUUGUAUUGGUUGUAUCUACAGUGAUGAUGAGGAGUUAAAGUACGACUACGAACAACACAACAAACAUCUCUCAUUAUCACACUUUAAUAUAAAAGAGAGAGAUAGGGUCCACUGGUGGUGGUUCUAGUCUGUUGAUGGUGUAUAAAAUAUUAAAUCAUAUAUACUAACUAUAAAACAAUAUUAAACAUUUAACUUGAACAUUGAAUUCUAUCUAUAUAUACUAACUAUAAAACAAUAUUAAACAUUUAACUUAAACAUUGAAUUCUAUUUUUUUUCUAUCUAUAAAACAAUUUCUAUCUAUAAAACAAUAUUAUGAUGGUGUAUAAAAUGGAGAUGUUAUUUUUACUGUGUAUAUAAAUAUAAAGACUGUAAAUAUGUUUUAUAUUCUGUUGAAGUCCAGUUAAAAACUGUGAUAAACGUAUGAAUACAUCACGUGUGUGUGUGUGUGUGUGGGUGGGGUGGCUGGGUGUGUACGGCAGAGACAAUGUUUUAUAUUCUGCUGUUUAAGGCAUUGAGGAAUCAGAGGCGGUCCAGCACAUUUUAGCACAUAUGUGGAUUGCAGGUUAUGACCUGCAGAUUUCGUUAAAGUAUCCAGAUGUAAAUAGGGCUAGCGCUAACCCUAACCCUCGGCCAAGCCUAACCCUUAUCCUUACCCCAACACACAAUUCGCAUAAUGUGACCGUCUCCGAUCUAACGGUUUCCAUUCAGGAAAUAGAUCACACUGUCAGUAUGUAUGACGUCAUCAUGUAAUUGAUGACGAAAUAAAGACACCUCCUCCUCAGUAAUUUGAUCCAGACUAGAACCUGUCAAUCAAUCAUCAGUGGUUACUUCAUCCAAUGAGAAUCUAUUUGCGUGAUACCAACAACCACUGUGUCAUGUGACAGGGUGUUUUUAUCGGUAGGUGUAAUUGAGACAGACGAUGAUUUUAUGUGAAUACCACUGACAUAAAUACAAUUUAUAUGUCACCAUGGUAAUAUAAUAUAC
Patella vulgata (common limpet) is the source of this 1550-nucleotide long non-coding RNA. RefSeq lists it as uncharacterized. The record is from RefSeq and is a predicted model, not a curated record. NCBI's taxonomy places the organism in Eukaryota, Metazoa, Mollusca, Gastropoda, Patellidae. The transcript has 3 exons.